UUGGAGGGCAAGUCUGGUGCCAGCAGCCGCGGUAAUUCCAGCUCCAAUAGCGUAUAUUAAAGUUGUUGCAGUUAAAAAGCUCGUAGUUGAAUUUCGGGAUCAGUACGCUGGUCACGCCUUUGGCAUGCACUGGUGUCACUGGUUUCUCCCUUCUGAAGAUCCGUGAUGUCAUUAAUUUGGUGUCGCGGGAAAUCAGGACUGUUACCUUGAAAAAAUUAGAGUGUUUAAAGCAGGCUCACGCUUGAAUACAUUAGCAUGGAAUAAUGAAAUAGGACGUUUGACCCUAUUUUGUUGGUUUCUAGGAUUGACGUAAUGAUUAAUAGGGAUAGUUGGGGGCAUUAGUAUUCAAUUGUCAGAGGUGAAAUUCUUGGAUUUAUUGAAGACUAACUACUGCGAAAGCAUUUGCCAAGGAUGUUUUCAUUAAUCAAGAACGAAAGUUAGGGGAUCGAAGACGAUCAGAUACCGUCGUAGUCUUAACCAUAAACUAUGCCGACUAGGGAUCGGAUGAUGUUAAUUUUAUAAUGACUCAUUCGACGCCUUACGGGAAACCAAAGUGUUUGGGUUC
RNAcentral lists this ribosomal RNA (565 nucleotides) under uncultured Glomeromycotina. Its description in RNAcentral is "SSU rRNA". It matches the Rfam family "Eukaryotic small subunit ribosomal RNA", at positions 548 to 1114 of the family's 1831-position model. The record is from RNAcentral. Lineage: Eukaryota; Fungi; Glomeromycota.